Molecule: long non-coding RNA, 1111 nt
Organism: Aquila chrysaetos chrysaetos
Lineage: Eukaryota; Metazoa; Chordata; Aves; Accipitriformes; Accipitridae
Exons: 3
Source: RefSeq, a predicted model, not a curated record
GACACAGACCUCUCAUGAAUUCUUUGCAAAGGAAAGUCCUGAGAGCGGCAGGCACCUGGCAGCUGUGACGAGUUUACCUAACGAGGGUGCAGACCUGCAGCAGCCCGAGCCUCCCUGCCAAAGGUCAGAGAGACUCAGUCCUCUCCCGGUGCUCACGGGAGCACGGGAGCCAGCAGCCGCAGCCUUCCUCCCCGAGCUGCUCUGCCUGCCCAGCCGUGGGGCGGCAGUGGGGCCACGCUGGCCUGGGGUACCCGGGGGUCCUGGCAUCCCGGCAGCUAACCCACGUGAAGUCGAACGGGGAGUCCAUUCAUUUUACACUGCUGAAGUCCCACCAGUGCAGCUGGGGCUGGUAUCAGCAGAAAACAGACUGCAAACAUCUCAGUCCAAAUACAGACCACAGAGGUGAAGUUACAGGUUGAAAGGAAGCGAAGGCACCAGUGCAUGCCCCCCCCACCCCCCGGCCGGGAGAUGCGCCAAAAAAACCUUGAACCUUUUCACUUGUUCCUCCGCAAGAAGCUUUGUGACCAGAGCGACGCCACGGGGCUGGGGGUCUUGUGAGUUCCCAGAAAAAUAGAUGCUGGGAAAAACAUUUAUAGACGGAGUCGGCGUGUGAGGGUUGUGGCCUUUGACUCCAACACCCCCGUCCUACCUCCUCCGAAUGGCCGGCACCCCGCUGCGCCGGGAUAUCUGCCGUGCUCCGGCUUCCCCAGAAACCCCUCCCGGCACCGUCAGACUGAUUUUGCUGGAGAUGCUCUCCGGAGAUGGGACAGCUCCUCGUGGGUCAUGUCCCGAUGCCGCGAUACCCACAGGGCACGUCCCGGAGGUUUGACUUUUGCCGGUUAAUUGUGUUCUGGAAGGAGCGGUGAGGAGCACGACUUCUGCAAAACGCCAGCGGACCUCCGGGCGGGUUCGGCCGCCGUGCUUGACCCGCCAUGGAGCUGCUUUCUCCAUCGGCCCUUUGCGGGGCCGUCCUGCGACGGCGAGGAGGGGACGGAGGCUCCCGAGCAAGGGCUGACGGCUGAGGUUGCCACCGCUGAAGAACGUAGGUCUUUGCCCUGGUUUCGGCUGGGAUAGAGUUAAUUUUCUAAGUGGUUAGUAUAGUGUUGUGUUU